CGAGCACGCGCGUGUGGCAUAUCAAUAAGCGGAGGAAAAGAAACUAACAAGGAUUCCCUUAGUAACGGCGAGUGAAGCGGGAAGAGCUCAAAUUUGAAAUCUUCAAGGUUCUACCUUGACGAAUUGUAGUUUAUAGAAGUGUUUUCUGUUAGUGGAGUGGCAAAAGUUCUUUGGAAUAGGACAUCAUAGAGGGUGAGAAUCCCGUAUUUGGUCAUUCCUCCUAGCGUUGUGAUACACUUUCAACGAGUCGGAUUGUUUGGGAAUGCAGUCCAAAGUGGGUGGUAAAUUUCAUCUAAAGCUAAAUAUUGGCGAGAGACCGAUAGCGAACAAGUACCGUGAGGGAAAGAUGAAAAGAACUUUGAAAAGAGAGUUAAACAGUACGUGAAAUUGUCAAAAGGGAAGCGUUUGACACCAGUGUUGUUUUUCCGAAAAUCAAUUACGAAUGUUUUAUUUUUGAGGAGUUAUGACUUCAUCGGCUUGCUCCUUUCUUUGCGAAACUUUCUUAAUGCACUUUUCGGUUAACAAGUCAACAUCAAUUUCUUUUGUUGUAAAAGGGUAUGAGGAAGGUGGCUUUCUUUUCGGAGAAAGUGUUUAUAGCCUUGUGCCUCUGCAAUCGGAGAGAUUGAGGUCUGCAGCGUAGAUCCUUCGGGGUUAGAUACGUUUGUGCUAAGUUAUAGCUUUUCAUAGACAACUUGUUGACUAUGUUUAGUCUUGUAGCUUACUCGCUGACGCUAUUUUACCUACGCUUAGGAUGUUGAACUCUAUCACACACAG
Molecule: ribosomal RNA, 774 nt
Filed under: uncultured Neocallimastigales
Lineage: Eukaryota; Fungi; Neocallimastigomycota; Neocallimastigomycetes; Neocallimastigales
Description: partial large subunit ribosomal RNA
Rfam family: Eukaryotic large subunit ribosomal RNA
Source: RNAcentral